Solanum lycopersicum (tomato) is the source of this 1871-nucleotide non-coding RNA. NCBI's taxonomy places the organism in Eukaryota, Viridiplantae, Streptophyta, Magnoliopsida, Solanales, Solanaceae. The record is from RefSeq and is a predicted model, not a curated record.
UUAGUCUUACUUCACGCUUGGUUAAAAUAAAUUUCGGGGAAUUUAAUAGUUUAUAUUUUUGAGUGUUUAGUUUUUGCUUGAGUUAAUUAUUUUGUCUUGUUGGUGAGUUCAAUUUAUCUAAAUUUUAGCCGAAUUUGUUAAUCAACUCAAUUCGAUUCUAUUCUGCCAUUUUGUUUUACCAAAUUCAAUGUAAAUGUUCAAUGUUACAGAACAUUCCAAUCCAAAAUUUUCCAGAAACUCCCACUUGACAAUUCAGCAUAAGCAGAUGAUCCGACCCAAGACCUCUUCCCUCGUCACCAGCGGGAAUCCAGAAAACGGCAAGAGAAGGCGUCAAUCGCUUGCGACAAGAGCAGCACGCGUACACGCAUCAGAAAGGGAUAUGACGAUAGACGCAAUUUGGUAUAUUCUCUUGUUCAAGCUAGGAAUUUGAAAUUGUUGGGUUUUAGUUCUUAUCCGGUUUAUCAACAUUUUGACCCUGACCCUAAAAAAUCCCAAGGAGGGGAUGGAAGGCGGAAAACAAACGUCUGAGAGAAGAACUUGGGGGUUUUCUUUAAUAGAGAUAGAUUUCAAAAUAAGUGAGGGUAUUUAGGCUUCUUUUGAGACAUUCUAGCUGCUCGGCGGAGCUCUCAAAAGUUUGUGUGUGCUGUUGGAAGGAACCCGCUGCCUCCUCUUGCUCGUUUGCUGCCCCGGAAGAGAUGUCAAGAUUCAGUCGGCUUGCAUCUUUGUGGCAGAAAACAUAUUUGUGACUUGUGGUCCUAGGUAGAUUUCAUGUGAAUCUAGCUUCCAAUUUCAGUUUCGGUUCAGCAGCGUGCUCGUUAUUUCCGGAUCUUAUUUAGUGCAGACAUAUUAGACCCAUUAACAUAGUAUGUUUAGGUCACAUUGUGUGGGUAGUUUAUUAAGUGUCCUUAUAAUAUAUCUUUGUGUUCAUCUCUGUAACUUUUAUGGUCUAAGUAUAUUUGUAUCUACCUACAAUUGAGUUUCAAGUUUUCUAGGUGUUAAGCUUCUUGUUUCUCGUUAGAAAAUGUGGGAUCCCCAAGUUUUUGUAUGGUCUGUAAAGUUUUCUCCUCGUUUUCACUGUCAAGACGUGGUAAUUUUCAAUGCGAAGUUUGAACUUCUUUGGUCGGUUCAAUUAAUAUAUCUUCGGCUUGAUGUUAGAUUAAAAUAUCCUUUGAGGUCAUUUGGAAAGAGGAGAAUUGCUUAUUGAUGUUUGUUUUAUCAUUUUGGGAUCGACAGUAAUUUAUUAAAAUUUCAUUACUUCCCCUUUAUUUCUAACCCUUUUUUUUUUUUACUUUUUUUGAGUUUCUUGUCCUGAAGGUGUCGUAAUACUACAAUUUUUUUUAAUCUUGUUUUUUUCUUAAAGAAUUGCUAUGAAUAUUGCUUAUGCGUUUGUAUCUUUUUGCAUGUGAAAUCUACCUCUGAGUCCUCAUGGACUCCAUUCCUCUUGCAUUUAAGGUUCAACUUCCUUUAUCGAGUUUGCCGGCUAGAAAGUUCAAAGAAAAAAAUCCGAAAUCGGUGAAUAGGUCCUAAGUCGCAAAAAUUCUAAACAGGCCAAGAAGUCGGAGAUUUGAAAAAGUGGCAUGAACUUAGUGUAUUUAAUUAUUUUUGCGCCUAAACCCUUUGUACAUUAUUAUCUUAGUAGUUUAGGACAUGUACAAAUCAAAUAGGCCCAAAGCCUAAAGCAAAAACAAAUGGGUCCAAAUAUCGGUCCAGGCGAACAAAAAUUGGCUUUGGACCCGACCCUAUCUCCCUCUCUCUUUUUUUCUCUCUCACUUUACUACUUGUUUAUUAAUUGUUGUUAGUUUUAGGGUUGACGAAUCCAAAUCCUUGCAAAACGCCGCUUCGGUUUUAACAACUUAACCAAUCGAAUAAAA